This 492-nucleotide ribosomal RNA is filed under the name uncultured bacterium. Its description in RNAcentral is "partial 16S ribosomal RNA". It matches the Rfam family "Bacterial small subunit ribosomal RNA", at positions 29 to 507 of the family's 1533-position model. The record is from RNAcentral.
AGUGAACGCUGGCGGUAGGCCUAACACAUGCAAGUCGAACGGCAGCACAGUAAGAGCUUGCUCUUACGGGUGGCGAGUGGCGGACGGGUGAGGAAUACAUCGGAAUCUACUUUUUCGUGGGGGAUAACGUAGGGAAACUUACGCUAAUACCGCAUACGACCUACGGGUGAAAUCAGGGGAUCUCCGGACCUUGCGCGAUUGAAUGAGCCGAUGUCGGAUUAGCUAGUUGGCGGGGUAAAGGCCCACCAAGGCGACGAUCCGCAGCUGGUCUGAGAGGAUGAUCAGCCACACUGGAACUGAGACACGGUCCAGACUCCUACGGGAGGCAGCAGUGGGGAAUAUUGGACAAUGGGCGCAAGCCUGAUCCAGCUAUACCGCGUGGGUGAAGAAGGCCUUCGGGUUGUAAAGCCCUUUUGUUGGGAAAGAAAAGCAGCAGGUUAAUACCCCGCUGUUCUGACGGUACCCAAAGAAUAAGCACCGGCUAACUUCGUG